CGAGCUAACAAGAUGACCGCGGGUGCUAAUCCGAAAGGUGGCAUCUGAGGAAAGUCCGAGCUGCAUAGAGCAGGGUGCUGGAUAACGUCCAGUGGGGGCGACCCUAAGGAAAGUGCCACAGAAAACAAACCGCCAAGGUUACUCUUGGUAAGGAUGAAACGGUGCGGUAAGAGCGCACCAGAAGUCAGGUGACUGACUUGCUUGGUAAACCCCACCCGCAGCAAGACCGAAUAGGGGCAGGAUGAGGUUGCUCGCUGACUGUCCGGGUAGGUCGCUGGAGGCGUCAGGUAACUGGCGUCCAAGAUAAAUGGUCAUCCUCGACAGAACUCGGCUUAUUAGUUAACUCGCAUC
This is a non-coding RNA of Sulfobacillus thermosulfidooxidans, 351 nucleotides long. NCBI's taxonomy places the organism in Bacteria, Bacillati, Bacillota, Clostridia, Eubacteriales, Clostridiales Family XVII. Incertae Sedis. The record is from Rfam.